ACUUGGCUUGGGCGGCGCUAUGUCCCGAACCUGGUCAGGUCCUGACGGAAGCAGCCAUAAGGGGCCGCUGGCGAGCGUCCAAGCCAUCUGUA
RNAcentral lists this signal recognition particle RNA (92 nucleotides) under Coriobacteriales bacterium. RNAcentral's name for it is "signal recognition particle sRNA small type". It matches the Rfam family "Bacterial small signal recognition particle RNA". From Rfam's summary of the family: The signal recognition particle (SRP) is a universally conserved ribonucleoprotein involved in the co-translational targeting of proteins to membranes. Archaeal SRP consists of a 7S RNA and homologues of the eukaryotic SRP19 and SRP54 proteins. The record is from RNAcentral. Lineage: Bacteria; Bacillati; Actinomycetota; Coriobacteriia; Coriobacteriales.